RNAcentral lists this long non-coding RNA (2086 nucleotides) under Homo sapiens (human). RNAcentral describes it as "Pvt1 oncogene, transcript variant 29 (PVT1)". The stretch from base 34 to 211 matches the Rfam family "Pvt1 oncogene conserved region 1". Lineage: Eukaryota; Metazoa; Chordata; Mammalia; Primates; Hominidae. The record is from RNAcentral.
CCCGCGCUCCUCCGGGCAGAGCGCGUGUGGCGGCCGAGCACAUGGGCCCGCGGGCCGGGCGGGCUCGGGGCGGCCGGGACGAGGAGGGGCGACGACGAGCUGCGAGCAAAGAUGUGCCCCGGGACCCCCGGCACCUUCCAGUGGAUUUCCUUGCGGAAAGGAUGUUGGCGGUCCCUGUGACCUGUGGAGACACGGCCAGAUCUGCCCUCCAGCCUGAUCUUUUGGCCAGAAGGAGAUUAAAAAGAUGCCCCUCAAGAUGGCUGUGCCUGUCAGCUGCAUGGAGCUUCGUUCAAGUAUUUUCUGAGCCUGAUGGAUUUACAGUGAUCUUCAGUGGUCUGGGGAAUAACGCUGGUGGAACCAUGCACUGGAAUGACACACGCCCGGCACAUUUCAGGAUACUAAAAGUGGUUUUAAGGGAGGCUGUGGCUGAAUGCCUCAUGGAUUCUUACAGCUUGGAUGUCCAUGGGGGACGAAGGACUGCAGCUGGCUGAGAGGGUUGAGAUCUCUGUUUACUUAGAUCUCUGCCAACUUCCUUUGGGUCUCCCUAUGGAAUGUAAGACCCCGACUCUUCCUGGUGAAGCAUCUGAUGCACGUUCCAUCCGGCGCUCAGCUGGGCUUGAGCUGACCAUACUCCCUGGAGCCUUCUCCCGAGGUGCGCGGGUGACCUUGGCACAUACAGCCAUCAUGAUGGUACUUUAAGUGGAGGCUGAAUCAUCUCCCCUUUGAGCUGCUUGGCACGUGGCUCCCUUGGUGUUCCCCUUUUACUGCCAGGACACUGAGAUUUGGAGAGAGUCUCACUCUGUGGUCCAGGCUGAAGUACAGUGGCAUGAUCCCAGGUCACUGCAACCCCCACCUCCCGGGUUCAAGUGAUCCUCCUGCCUCAGCCUCCCGAGUAGCUGGUAUUACAGGCGUGUGCCACAAAGCCUGGCUAAGUUUUGUAUUUUUAGUAGAGACGGGGUUUCACCAUGUUGGCCAGGUUGGUCUCGAACUCCUGACCUCAAGUGAUCCACUCACUUUGGCCUUUCAACGUGCUGGGAUUACAGGCGAGAGUCACCGCACCCGGACGACUCUGACAUUUUUGAAGAGUCCAGAAUCCUGUUACACCUGGGAUUUAGGCACUUUCAAUCUGAAAAAAUACAUAUCCUUUCAGCACUCUGGACGGACUUGAGAACUGUCCUUACGUGACCUAAAGCUGGAGUAUUUUGAGAUUGGAGAAUUAAGAGUGUGGGCACCCUGGCUUCAAGCUCACGAGAAACCAGAAGGAAGUCACUGUGCAUAGCCAUCCCCUAAGAAGAGGGCAUUCCUGCUCUUCCUUCUCCAUGGCUAGAGGAUCUACAUGAACUAUUUAGAUUUUUUCUACCUGGGAGAUUUAACUCCUCUCUCCUAUUUAUUUAUUUAUAUAUCAGCAUGGACUUGCAGGCCAACAGAGAUUUUGAGAAACACAUUGAAGGAUCUGUUAACACUUGAUAUACCCAAUAAAAGCAGUGGUUGUGCCAGUGCUGAUCUGUCUUGAUGUGAAUGUGAACAAUGGGAACCUGAGCUGAGCAGUUAAUGCUAGGGUGACAGAAACUGGACCUCUCCCAAGACAUGUGACAGAGUAAUACAGCAGCCAACUUCUUCGCCAAAUUAAAGUUUUACAAGAUUUAACCUGUCAUCAAGACCUGGGAUUUUGGUGGACAGAAUAACGGGCUCCCAGAUUCACAAGCCCCACCAAGAGGAUCACCCCAGGAACGCUUGGAGGCUGAGGAGUUCACUGAGGCUACUGCAUCUUGAGACUCAGGAUGAAGACCCAGCUUGGGGCUGUCAAAGGUUUUUUGCAUGUCUGACACCCAUGACUCCACCUGGACCUUAUGGCUCCACCCAGAAGCAAUUCAGCCCAACAGGAGGACAGCUUCAACCCAUUACGAUUUCAUCUCUGCCCCAACCACUCAGCAGCAAGCACCUGUUACCUGUCCACCCCCACCCCUUCCCCCAAACUGCCUUUGAAAAAUCCCUAACCUAUGAGCUUUGAAUAAGAUGAGUACGAACUUCAUCGCCCACGUGGCGUGGCCGGCCUCGUGUCUAUUAAAUUCUUUUUCUACUACAA